CCAAUGCUGGCAUUUUGAAUUUGUUUUCUUGUUUAUGUUGACAAGCUGCAGCCUGCAUUCAAGUGUGUUACUAUUGUGGGCUCUAUCAGAUGAGAUGGUAUGUGCGUACAAUUUAUGAUUUUUUAUUUAUUACCAGCAUUUACCUUUUCCAAAUGUCGCGAAAAUUGACAACUGCUUAUGAAGUAUAGAAUGAGGACCAUAGUAUAUUCCACCACACCAUUUUAUAAGCCACUUGAUCGAUCCUAUUGCAGUUAACCAUUGAGAACGCUCCCUGGGAAAGUGUGAAUCAAGCCUCUCUUGAUAUGUCUGCCUUUCAUCAAUCUACGAUCUCACUUGCUCCAUCAAAUUUUUUGCAAUAUGUAGGAAUAAAAGUUUUCAUUUAUAGAGUACUAUGUCGCCUUUUGUGCUGAUGAAUGUUUAACCUUUUGUUUUGUACUGUUAAAGCUGAAAUAACCCGCGUCACCAAUUCAAAAUCCUCUGCAAUCUUCAAGCAUCUCAACCACGAUAUUAAUCCAGUACUAAAGACAGUUAAAUCUCUCUGACCAUUGAUAUCAAAUGAAUGCUAAACAUGUCUCCAGGUCUAUUGGCUUGCGCCAGUUGAAUUUUCUUGACGACUUGCUAGUUUUGCAUUAGAAAUAAAAUUUAAUUGUUGCAGCAUGGACAGACCAUCAAGGGAAGGAAGUCAGCAACACUAACAUUAGCAAUAGCCAACACAAUUUUUGCCAAACUAUCAUUUUCCCUUUAUCACAACCCAUGGCAUCCGUCUUCUCAAUUUGCCCACUCCAAUUAAUAAAAAACCUUGCAACACUUUCUCUUUCGCCAGAAAAUGCUAUUAUACUUUACAGCUGCAAUGCAAUCAUGGAAAAUUAAUUAUGAUGUAAACCUAGAGUAGGCAGAAACAUAGUAAAAAUUCAAAACUUAACUUUACAUCAAAAUAGAAACUAGAAAGAUAGAGAGAGAGAGAGGCUAACCAUCAUACUUUAAUUGCCAGCCUUCAUGGGGUUCAUACCCACUGGAAUCUGAAUGUUGGGUGCUUAUCCUAGCUGCAUGUUAGGAUUAACUUCUGUUAAUUUCUUUAGGUAAAUUCCAAACCAGAGAUUACUUGAAUUAUUUAAUCCUACACAUAGGCAACAAAUUCAGAUUGAAGGGGUGUAUGCAGGUUUUUGUUUUCAAAUUUGGCGUGGUUUGAUCUUUCUCUCUCAGUCAAUUUUGACUGGCUUCCAAUGCAGACAUUUGCAUUUGGUUUUUGUUCUUGAAAUGCUGCAGCACAUUAUCUAUUGCUUAUGAUUGACUUCACCCCUUAUCACUUUUUUCCCAUUUAUUGUUUUAAUACACUUUCAGUCUGAUGAUUGUAGUUGUGUGAUGGUGUUGGAGUUGCUUGCUUGCUGAACGCUACUCUUGUUUUGCCCAAAUUUGAAGUGGCUGCAUAUUGGAACGAAUCCAGGUAAGCGAUAGUUGUGAGUCUAUGGACAAAGGACUAUUCUUUUGCAUUUACAGGAUUUUGUCACUGAAGUAAUUUUAAAAAACUAGUCUGUAGAGUGCAGUCCCUUAAGCUAAAGUUAGGUGAAGUAAAUUGAUGUCUUUUAACCCAAGGGAAGAAAUUUCCUGCCUCACUUUCUCGUGUUAGAGACUUGGAACAUGAACAAUACCUCGGAGAAUUUCAUUUACUUAAAUGAAACUAUCCAUAUAUGUAAAUCUCUCUUGAAAGCUCCAAGAUUCCCUCUCUCUCAAAUAAUUCUCGUCUUUGGUAUGUUCUCUCAAUUAAUACGACUUAAUUAGGGUAGGGUUGCUUGGAUAUUAUUAUGUGGAUGAGAAACAUUCAGCAGUCUGCUCACACAAGGAAAUCUACAUCUUCAAUUUCCUUUGCAAUUUUCAUUCAUUCGAAGCAAGCAACAGUAGCCUAAAUUAUUAUUUUACAAUGCUGUGGAUUUGGAGAUGUAUUUGGUGUAGACCUUUUUCAUCCAACAAAUGAGCAGCUUUAAAAGAGUUGCCUGGAGAGAUUGCAUCAAAAGAACCCUUUCAUGGUGAUUGUAGCAAACGUAAAGGUUUAUAUGACUAUGUUGAAAGUGUGUUUCCUUCCCUUUUGGAGCAUCGUUUUAUUUCAUUCACGCCAGCAAUGAGUCAAAGAAGGGAUAGGUACAACUAUGUAUUCUUGAAUUCCUUUGUUUUCGUAAAAAGUGUCUUAUCAUAAUUAACUUACAUGUAACACAGUUUCUAAUCAACCUUGCUUUCUUCUCUGCUCAUUUAUUCUUGCGGAGGCACAAAUUAUAUUUAUUCUCUGUUGUCUUGUUCUAUUUGUGUUGUUUUGGGUGGUGGUUGGUAGGGUGUGUUUGGUGGUUACGAUCUUGGGGAUCUAAAACAUUGAGGAUUUUCAUAAUGAAUUCGUAAAAUCAAGUUCAUUGCCGAUCUAUUUGUUCUAUUCCAAAUAAUUUCCCUUAAACCGGCUUUUUUAGUGGAAGAUUACCUUCGACAUAAAUGAUAAUUCUGGCUAUGAUGGUAGAAAAAUAGAUUAUUUAUUUGUUUAUUAUUUUUGGGAAAAAGGGACAUGCUGAACUACUCGGACAUAUCAUGCCACAUUCUUUCAUUGAGUUCUUGCUCUUUACUAUGCAUUUGCAAUUUUUGCAAGAUGUGUUAAUCAAGAUCCCAGAGUGCUUAUAAUAAUUAAUUUUGUUGGUAUCCACUGUAUGCGAAAGCUGUAUUCUGUCAGGUAUGUUAUAAUGCUCUGUGCUUAACCGGCACGUUGGAGAAGAAAGCGUCUGAGCUUCUAGAUGCUAUACCUGAGCCCUUCCUUUCACCUCACCUUCGGCCUAAUCUUUCUCCUGCUUCUAUGCAAGCCAUAUUUGCAGCACGAGGAGACCGGAAAGCCUGGACUGUAGAACAGGCUCGUAUAUGGAGAAAC
Molecule: long non-coding RNA, 2899 nt
Filed under: Olea europaea subsp. europaea
Lineage: Eukaryota; Viridiplantae; Streptophyta; Magnoliopsida; Lamiales; Oleaceae
Source: RNAcentral